CUUGUUUGGAGCCUUUUGCUCUUUAUUUAUAGGCUUUGGAUCGAUAUAAAAUCAAUAUAACAGAAUAAAAUAUAAACAGAAUGAAAUAUAAACAAACUCACCUGAAAUAUCUCUGUUGAGAUAUUAUUUGAUACGAGAUAUAUGAUAUUAUAUGAUACUGUUCCUUUAUUCUCGUUUGUGACAUGAUGGGCCUUGAGCCCAAUAAAGCUGGAUCAGUUUAAUAAUUCGGCCCAUUUAACUGGUAGGCUUGACCGUUCAGUGUAACCGGUCGUCAGAGAUAUACUACCGUACA
Molecule: long non-coding RNA, 292 nt
Filed under: Vigna radiata
Lineage: Eukaryota; Viridiplantae; Streptophyta; Magnoliopsida; Fabales; Fabaceae
Description: long non-coding RNA (VRAD_LNC010624)
Source: RNAcentral